GACGAACGCUGGCGGCGUGCCUAAUACAUGCAAGUAGAACGCUGAAGGAGGAGCUUGCUCUUCUGGAUGAGUUGCGAACGGGUGAGUAACGCGUAGGUAACCUGCCUGGUAGCGGGGGAUAACUAUUGGAAACGAUAGCUAAUACCGCAUAACAGUAGAUGUUGCAUGACAUUUGCUUAAAAGGUGCAAUUGCACCACUACCAGAUGGACCUGCGUUGUAUUAGCUAGUUGGUGGGGUAACGGCUCACCAAGGCGACGAUACAUAGCCGACCUGAGAGGGUGAUCGGCCACACUGGGACUGAGACACGGCCCAGACUCCUACGGGAGGCAGCAGUAGGGAAUCUUCGGCAAUGGACGGAAGUCUGACCGAGCAACGCCGCGUGAGUGAAGAAGGUUUUCGGAUCGUAAAGCUCUGCUGUAAGAGAAGAACGAGUGUGAGAGUGGAAAGUUCACACUGUGACGGUAUCUUACCAGAAAGGGACGGCUAACUACGUG
This 495-nucleotide ribosomal RNA is filed under the name uncultured bacterium. RNAcentral describes it as "partial 16S ribosomal RNA". It matches the Rfam family "Bacterial small subunit ribosomal RNA", at positions 28 to 507 of the family's 1533-position model. The record is from RNAcentral.